Molecule: RNA transcript, 3043 nt
Organism: Mesocricetus auratus (golden hamster)
Lineage: Eukaryota; Metazoa; Chordata; Mammalia; Rodentia; Cricetidae
Gene name: RNA-binding protein 14
Exons: 5
Source: RefSeq, a predicted model, not a curated record
CCUCCCCUUUCUACCCAGAGUCACUGCUGUGGCCGCCGCCAUUUUAGCAUUUUGUCAGAACCUUCCGCGCUGCGAGGAGGAGGACCUGCAGAUUUCCAUGUGGUGAGAGACUCCAAGUCCUCCUACUGUGUUCGUUACUCAGUUAAAACUUAACCGACUUCCUUGGGCGUCAGGGUUUUUCUAGUGGGGUCGCGGUCUGCGCCCCUGUCACUGAGAGCUGACCUCGGUCCUCGACUUUGUGCGGCUGUGGAGAUGGUGAAGCUGUUCAUUGGAAAUCUGCCCCGGGAGGCCACAGAGCAAGAGAUCCGCUCACUCUUCGAGCAGUACGGGAAGGUGCUGGAAUGUGACAUCAUUAAGAACUAUGGCUUUGUGCACAUAGAGGACAAGACGGCCGCUGAGGAUGCCAUACGCAACCUGCACCACUACAAGCUGCACGGAGUGAACAUCAAUGUGGAAGCCAGCAAGAAUAAGAGCAAAGCCUCAACCAAGUUGCAUGUGGGCAACAUCAGCCCCACUUGUACCAACCAAGAGCUUCGGGCCAAGUUUGAGGAGUAUGGCCCAGUCAUCGAAUGUGACAUCGUGAAAGAUUAUGCCUUUGUACACAUGGAGCGGGCAGAGGAUGCAGUGGAGGCCAUCAGGGGCCUUGACAACACAGAGUUUCAAGCUGCCCGGAUGGUUACUUGGGAACAGCUUCGUUAUGGUUUCCAAUUCAAACUGCAUUCACUGCUGCCUGUGGAGAGGAAACAUCUUGAAAGACCCAGGAACACAUCAGUUGGUGGAACUACUUUUAGAUCAAGGUAAUAAUUUCUCUAUUAAUUUCUCUCACACAUACUACAUUUGCUUCUACACUUUCCAAUUAUUGUUUUUCCCCAAGCCACAUAAUCUGAACCCACCACAAGGACUCUCCUAUGUCUAACAGGGGAGGUUUCACAGCUAUACUUGAAUUAUGAGAAAAGACAUCUGAGACCUACUGAUGAUUGUUUUGUCUGUGGAUGGGCUGUUACUGUUGUACAUAUGCAUGUUUAAUGGGGAGUACCGAAUCCACUUAAGAGCGAGAAUAAAACCCUGGGAAUUAUCUGCCAUGCCACAUGUGAUGUAUAGGGCCCAUUAGGGGCUGUGUGAUGCUAGUCCCUAGCCUGCAUACACCUGACUCUGCUUGUCACUGUUUUGACUGACAGUAGUCAGUCAUGGCUACUUGGGGCCCUUGGCCAGUUAUGCUGAGACAGGCUAGUUUUCUCAAACAGACCCACAACUUACAAAUUUAAUACCUUCUUUUUCAAUACUGCAAACUUUAAGAAAAAAUACUUCUUUCCAUCUCUAGAAUAUAUUGUGUGUUUAUUUACAUGCUCAGGAUGUACCUUAUGGAUUCCUAGGGUGAUAUUCCUCUAGAGUUCAGGAGGUGGGAACCUGGCACUCCUGUAAUUCUGUGUGAGCUCCCUUGAUUCUAUGGGAAAGACAAAAAGUAGGGUGCUCCCCUAUCCACUGCUGGUUCAGCAGUUGCCGAGAGUAGGUUGUAGUAACAGUCCUAUCACCCCUUACUGAAAACAAUUGAUAGACUUGAGAGUGAGGAAUAGUGUGGGGGCUAGAAGUGUAGUUCCAUGUUAGAGUGUUUGCCUAGCAUGCAUGAGGCCCAGUGUUCCAUCCCCAGCACUGCUAGAAAUUCAACAACUUUUUAAAAAAAGAAAAGUGUGCACCAGGGAGAGGGACUUACUGCCUUUUAACAUGAAUACUGUUAAUUAACAUCAACCCAAAACACAGUGAAUGUCUUUGGUCUAAACAGAAGUCAACCCAGUGAAACAGAUCACUGUCAUGGGGAGACAGACAAGAAGGCUCUCAGGAUCACACAAUUCUUUGAGGCUCAAAAUGUGGGGGGUAGAGUGGACACACAGGAUAUCAGAACCAGGGAGGCUAUGGUCAGAAAAGCAACAACACCAAGAGGCAGUGAGAGAAGCUGAGCUGUUUAAUUCACCUCCUUGGGUAGACUCAAGGAUGUGGCUACUCCUGAACAACUCACACUUGGAAGCCACCUCGAGUGGCUAGAGGAGCAGCCACUUGAGUCAGAGGAUGAGGCAGGAUGGGCAGGGAAGGCUUCAGUGUCCCCGUCUCCAUCAUCUGGUUCUCCUGCCCUUGGGCCCUGCUUCAGCUCUGAGAGGGUCCUGGCUGAUCUCAGAGGCAAAGAACUGGAUGGUGAACCGCACACCCUGACUGUGGUGGCACAAUGACCCUGAGGCAGGGACAGUGGUUCCCACAUAGCCCAUUUUGAGGGUGACACUAUCUGCACCAUGGUGGGGGUGGAGGCAUAAGGCUUGGGAAGAGGUGACAAGGUGGGGAAGAGUGAUAUUAGGGGUUGCCUGGGUCCCACCACCAGUUGAAUUAAAUAGCAGAAGAGAAGGUUGUGGGAACACUUGUUUGUCCCCAGUGAUAGUUCUUGGUGAUGGGCUGACCUUAGCAGCAGACCCUAGCAGCAGGCAGUUGUCCUGACAAGAGGGUGGUCUCUGUCGAUAGUCCCUGGCAGUUUCCUGAACGGAGGGAGGGAGCUGACCUGGGAAUCUUGCCCCCAACUACUUGUUCUUCUUAAAGAAGCUGAAUCGUUUUUCUCGCUCUCUUUCUCUGCCAUCCUUGCUGCGAAGCACGAUGGAGCCCUCAGGCUGCGACACUGGAGGCAUGGUCAUGGCCCGGGUCAGACCUCGACCUGCACUGGGCACCACUGGCUCUUCUGGCUCUCCAGAGGCAGAGGAUGCAGUGGCAAUAGCUGCAUUCACCACUCUCAGCCAUGAGCUCAUCUCUGCCUGUAAGGGACAGGAAGGCAUCACGUCAUACUCAAAGACUGACUGGAGGCCACAUGUAGUAGGCAGAAGGAAAGUAUGAUAGGAGUACCAACAUCCACCCCUCCAGAGAGACUCACAGGCCCUUCUGGGACACUGCUCUGUUCAAGUCUUUGCUGUUCGAACAGGGGCUGCAAAGAUAAGAAGCUGUGAGGAUGUGGUGGCUGGCAGAGUCAAAAGGGAUAUUCACAGACAUUAAAUUACCUGUGAAGACUCUG